UAGGGAAUCUUCCACAAUGGACGCAAGUCUGAUGGAGCAACGCCGCGUGAGUGAAGAAGGCUUUCGGGUCGUAAAACUCUGUUAUUGAAGAAGAACGUGUGUGACAGUAACUGGUCAUGCAGUGACGGUAUUCAAUCAGAAAGUCACGGCUAACUACGUGCCAGCAGCCGCGGUAAUACGUAGGUGGCAAGCGUUGUCCGGAUUUAUUGGGCGUAAAGCGAGUGCAGGCGGUCUUUUAAGUCUGAUGUGAAAGCCUUCGGCUUAACCGAAGAAGGGCAUCGGAAACUGGGAGACUUGAGUGCAGAAGAGGAGAGUGG
Molecule: ribosomal RNA, 317 nt
Filed under: uncultured bacterium
Lineage: Bacteria
Description: partial 16S ribosomal RNA
Rfam family: Bacterial small subunit ribosomal RNA
Source: RNAcentral